CGGACGGGUGAGUAAUGUCUGGGAAACUGCCCGAUGGAGGGGAAUAACUACUGGAAACGGUAGCUAAUACCGCAUAACGUCGCAAGACCAAAGAGGGGGACCUUCGGGCCUCUUGCCAUCGGAUGUGCCCAGAUGGGAUUAGCUAGUAGGUGGGGUAACGGCUCACCUAGGCGACGAUCCCUAGCUGGUCUGAGAGGAUGACCAGCCACACUGGAACUGAGACACGGUCCAG
This 232-nucleotide ribosomal RNA is filed under the name uncultured bacterium. RNAcentral describes it as "partial 16S ribosomal RNA". It matches the Rfam family "Bacterial small subunit ribosomal RNA", at positions 99 to 334 of the family's 1533-position model. The record is from RNAcentral.